This 492-nucleotide ribosomal RNA is filed under the name uncultured bacterium. Its description in RNAcentral is "partial 16S ribosomal RNA". It matches the Rfam family "Bacterial small subunit ribosomal RNA", at positions 29 to 507 of the family's 1533-position model. The record is from RNAcentral.
AGUGAACGCUGGCGGUAGGCCUAACACAUGCAAGUCGAACGGCAGCACAGUAAGAGCUUGCUCUUACGGGUGGCGAGUGGCGGACGGGUGAGGAAUACAUCGGAAUCUACUUUUUCGUGGGGGAUAACGUAGGGAAACUUACGCUAAUACCGCAUACGACCUACGGGUGAAAGCAGGGGAUCUUCGGACCUUGCGCGAUUGAAUGAGCCGAUGUCGGAUUAGCUAGUUGGCGGGGUAAAGGCCCACCAAGGCGACGAUCCGUAGCUGGUCUGAGAGGAUGAUCCGCCACAAUGGAACUGAGAAACGGUCCCGACCCCUAAGGGAGGCAGGAGUGGGGAAUAUUGGACAAUGGGCGCAAGCCUGAUCCAGCCAUACCGCGUGGGUGAAGAAGGCCUUCGGGUUGUAAAGCCCUUUUGUUGGGAAAGAAAAGCAGCAGGUUAAUACCCCGCUGUUCUGACGGUACCCAAAGAAUAAGCACCGGCUAACUUCGUG